UCAUGUUUAUUUUCUGUCCUUGGGGCGUAACAGGUGCAUGUUAAGGCAACAUGCAAUCAUACAGCCAAUUACAAAUGGAUUUGGCCCUGGGCAAGUUCAUGGAUGUAUCUUGCAAGGUGCAAGAAGAUUUAAGGUUAUUUGAAGAGCUGAGCUACCAGGUGUGGAGAUGCUCAUUAAGAUCAGCCAAACUGAAAACCAUGACACCAAGACUGGCGCAGCGAGUAGAAGAAAUAUUCCUACAGGAUGCGGAAACUGUUAUCCAACUCAGCAAAGAAGACACUCCGUCGUGGUGGACGACCGAGAGACAGCCUGGCUCGUGUCUGUUGUCCCAGCUUCAUCUUAACCAUGCACGUGCCCCGACAGGGAAUCAAACCGGCAACCUUUGGAUGCACAGGACAACGGAGCAACCCUGCCUGGGCCACAGAUACCCAUUCAGAGGUCCCAACACUGUGGGAAAAUCUCUCCACAGCUUUCCCUCUUAAAAGCAAAAUACUAAACACCAACAUUUUAGAAUUAAAAUAAUAAAAAUCAGCCUGGUUAGAUUUCUGCCUGCCUGGAAUUCACGAAUAAAGAUUUUGUAAUAAAAAA
Molecule: long non-coding RNA, 588 nt
Organism: Artibeus jamaicensis (Jamaican fruit-eating bat)
Lineage: Eukaryota; Metazoa; Chordata; Mammalia; Chiroptera; Phyllostomidae
Exons: 4
Source: RefSeq, a predicted model, not a curated record